UACGUAGGGCGCAAGCGUUGUCCGGAAUCAUUGGGCGUAAAGCGCGCGUAGGCGGCCCGAUAAGUCCGCUGUGAAAGUCAAAGGCUCAACCUUUGAAUGCCGGUGGAUACUGUCGGGCUAGAGUCCGGAAGAGGCGAGUGGAAUUCCUGGUGUAGCGGUGGAAUGCGCAGAUAUCAGGAGGAACACCAAUAGCGAAGGCAGCUCGCUGGGACGGUACUGACGCUAAGGCGCGAAAGCGUGGGGAGCGAACAGG
RNAcentral lists this ribosomal RNA (253 nucleotides) under uncultured bacterium. RNAcentral describes it as "partial 16S ribosomal RNA". It matches the Rfam family "Bacterial small subunit ribosomal RNA", at positions 524 to 776 of the family's 1533-position model. The record is from RNAcentral.